RNAcentral lists this ribosomal RNA (160 nucleotides) under Morella esculenta. RNAcentral describes it as "5.8S ribosomal RNA". It matches the Rfam family "5.8S ribosomal RNA". From Rfam's summary of the family: 5.8S ribosomal RNA (5.8S rRNA) is a component of the large subunit of the eukaryotic ribosome. It is transcribed by RNA polymerase I as part of the 45S precursor that also contains 18S and 28S rRNA. The record is from RNAcentral. Lineage: Eukaryota; Viridiplantae; Streptophyta; Magnoliopsida; Fagales; Myricaceae.
CAAAACGACUCUCGGCAACGGAUAUCUCGGCUCUCGCAUCGAUGAAGAACGUAGCGAAAUGCGAUACUUGGUGUGAAUUGCAGAAUCCCGCGAAUCAUCGAGUUUUUGAACGCAAGUUGCGCCCAAAGCCGUUUGGCCGAGGGCACGUCUGCCUGGGUGU